RNAcentral lists this ribosomal RNA (591 nucleotides) under Calonectria guangxiensis. RNAcentral describes it as "LSU rRNA". It matches the Rfam family "Eukaryotic large subunit ribosomal RNA", at positions 81 to 698 of the family's 3401-position model. Lineage: Eukaryota; Fungi; Ascomycota; Sordariomycetes; Hypocreales; Nectriaceae. The record is from RNAcentral.
UAGUAACGGCGAGUGAAGCGGCAACAGCUCAAAUUUGAAAUCUGGCCUUCGGGCCCGAGUUGUAAUUUGUAGAGGAUGCUUUUGGUGAGGUACCUUCCGAGUUCCCUGGAACGGGACGCCAUAGAGGGUGAGAGCCCGUCUGGUUGGAUACCAAUCCUCUGUAAAGCUCCUUCGACGAGUCGAGUAGUUUGGGAAUGCUGCUCUAAAUGGGAGGUAUAUGUCUUCUAAAGCUAAAUACCGGCCAGAGACCGAUAGCGCACAAGUAGAGUGAUCGAAAGAUGAAAAGCACUUUGAAAAGAGAGUUAAAAAGUACGUGAAAUUGUUGAAAGGGAAGCGCUUAUGACCAGACUUGGGCUUGGUUGAUCAUCCUGGGUUCUCCCUGGUGCACUCUUCCAGUUCAGGCCAGCAUCAGUUCGCUGCGGGGGAUAAAAGUUUUAGGAAUGUGGCUCCCUCGGGAGUGUUAUAGCCUAUUGCAUAAUACCCUGCUCCGGACUGAGGUUCGCGCAUCUGCAAGGAUGCUGGCGUAAUGGUCAUCAGCGACCCGUCUUGAAACACGGACCAAGGAGUCGUCUUCGUAUGCGAGUGUUCGGG